GAUGAGCUUCUUCGGAGUGGAUUAGCGGCGGACGGGUGCUUUAAAGUGGGUAACCUGCCUUAUAGAGGGGAAUAGCCUUUCGAAAGAGAGAUUAAUACCGCAUAAGAUUGUAGCUUCGCAUGGAGCAGCAAUUAAAGGAGCAAUCCGCUAUAAAAUGGACCCGCGGCGCAUUAGCUAGUUGGUGAGGUAACGGCUCACCAAGGCCACGAUGCGUAGCCGACCUGAGAGGGUGACCGGCCACAUUGGGACUGAGACACGGCCCAGACUCCUACGGGAGGCAGCAGUGGGGAAUAUUGCACAAUGGGGGAAACCCUGAUGCAGCAACGCCGCGUGAGUGAUGACGGUCUUCGGAUUGUAAAGCUCUGUCUUUGGGGACGAUAAUGACGGUACCCAAGGAGGAAGCCACGGCUAACUACGUGCCAGCAGCCGCGGUAAUACGUAGGUGGCAAGCGUUGUCCGGAUUUACUGGGCGUAAAGGGAGCGUAGGCGGACUUUUAAGUGGGAUGUGAAAUACCUGGGCUUAACCUGGGUGCUGCAUUCCAAACUGGAAGUCUAGAGUGCAGGAGGGGAAAGUGGAAUUCCUAGUGUAGCGGUGAAAUGCUUAGAGAUUAUGAAGAACACCGGUGGC
RNAcentral lists this ribosomal RNA (628 nucleotides) under uncultured bacterium. RNAcentral's name for it is "bacterial SSU rRNA". It matches the Rfam family "Bacterial small subunit ribosomal RNA", at positions 68 to 716 of the family's 1533-position model. The record is from RNAcentral.